Non-coding RNA from Pelobates cultripes (western spadefoot toad), 712 nucleotides. Lineage: Eukaryota; Metazoa; Chordata; Amphibia; Anura; Pelobatidae. The record is from the annotation of a GenBank genome assembly.
GGGGGUCAAGCUAGUCAUAGGCUGGGGGGUGAAUCUCAUAGAGAAGAGUUCUCUGUCCAGGGUUUCCCUGUUUCUUGCGUAGCCUUUGUAGUUUUAUUCUUAAGUGUCCCAUUUGCCCUUUCCACUUUCCCACUACUCUGGUGGUGGUAGGGAGUGUGGAAAGCCUGACUAAUCCCUAGAGCUUUCAUGAUUUCUGCAUUAUUUCCCAAGUAAAAUGGCUAUCUCUGUCACUUUCAAUCACCUCAGGUACCCCCUAUCUACAUACCAGUUCCUUCAGAAGCUUUCUUGCUGUGACCUUCGCUGUGGCUUUCGGCACUGGGUAGACCUCAGGCCAACCUGAAAAGAGAUCAACGCACACCAACACAUAUUCAUACACUCCUACCUUAGGUAGUUGAAUAUAGUCUAUCUACAGUCUACAGUCCGGGUAAAGUGGCCUUGGUGUAUGUUUAACUGGUGUCUAGACAGCCUGUCUGGGAUUGUUACUAGAAUAAAUCAUGCAAGCCUGGGUGUACUAAGCUGCUAUAACAAUAAACCCAGGUGCCACCCAAUGGGUAUUCACUAUACAGUUCAUGUUCAUCUUGGAUAAAUGUGUGGGUCCAUGGGCUAUUUGGGCCAUCAUAGGGUACAAUACUCGUGGUAGACAUAGUAUUUUACCUUUUCUCCAUAUUCUGUCAUCAUUGGGUUUUGCAUAAUUUUUCCUCCAGAGGUCCUG